GCCCGCUGAGGCGACGUGUCCCUGGCCCGGCCGAUGGCCGCCGCCCGCCGCGCCCGCGCUGACUGAUGUAUUUGAAGAGGCCGGCGGGCGGCCUCGCCUUCUGCCUCUUCUACCUGGCCUCCAGCUUCACCAACAAGUAUGUCCUGUCUGUCCUGCAAUUUACCUACCCUACCCUUUUUCAAGGGUGGCAGACAUUGGUGGGUGGACUUCUGCUUCACAUCUCCUGGAAGCUGGGCUGGGUGGAGAUAAACUUGUGUUCAAGGUCUGAAAUCCUGUCAUGGCUUCCUGCAUCAGUACUUUUUGUGGGCAUUAUUUAUGCUGGCUCCAGGGCACUGUCUAGAUUGCCAAUCCCGGUGUUCCUCACUGUGCACAACGCGGCAGAAGUCAUAACCUGCGGGUUCCAGAAGUUUGUGCAGAAAGAGCAGACCUCUCAUCUGAAAGUCUGUAGUGUGCUGUUCCUCCUGGCAGCAGCAGUGUGCCUUCCUUUGUGUGACACACAGUUUGAUCCAAAUGGAUAUUUAUGGGCUCUAAUUCACUUGAUCUGUGUUGGGGCUUACAAAGUAUUUCACAAGUUGUGGAAACCUGGAUCUUUAAGUGAUCUGGACCAACAGUACAUCAACUAUGUGUUCAGUGUAGUGCUGUUGGCCUCUGCAUCCCAUCCAGCAGGUGAUCUCUUCAGUGCCUUGGAUUUUCCAUUCCUGUACUUCUACAGGUUUCAUAGCAGCUGCUGUGCCAGAUAUGUGGGAUUUGGAGGAAAACCUAUGCAAUGUAAGUGGACUGUUGGGAUUCUUUCUGAUGUUGCACACAGUGAAGCUAAAAAGCAGCACAACCUCGGGGCAAUAUGCAGCCUGGAGUUUCCUUGCAAAGGUUAUCACUGCUAGCUUAUCACCGUUCUUCUUUGUCAUGACUGCCAAUGUACUAACAAUUUCUUGCCUUGUGAUCGGUGGAGUUGGAGAAGCGUUGCUUGUUUACACUGAAAGGACAGGCACAUAAAGAGGAACCAGAUCUCACCAGCUGGAACAAAGCUGACUUGCAGCCUAGAGACACUAUCAAGAAAAAAAGUGGCAGCAGGAAUGAAGAAGUGCAACCAAACAUGAGGAAAGGGACCUAUUUUUUUUUUUUUUUAUUAAAAAAAGAACCUAUGCUAUUAAUAGUGCUAGUAAGGGAGCAGCAUAGCUGGCAGAGAUGGUAAGGAGCCUUUGCCUCAAAGCACAAGACCAACUAUAUCAGAUUGAUGUGGUAAAGAAAAAACUGCACUGUAUCAUGCUGAUGGCUCUGUGUGAGCACCACUCACUAGCAGCUUCUUGCACAGGGGCACAGGGAACUAAACUCAGGAAAAGCAGCAUUCCCCACUGUAUGCCCCGGGUGGUUUUUUUUUUGGUUUAUUUUGUUUGUUUGGUUUUGUUGGUUUUUUUUUUUUUGUUUGAAGCAGACAGCAGGUCAUACCAAACAACGUAUAAAUUCAGGAUCUGGAAGGAUUGAUUUUGCCUCGAACUGUUCUGUAAGCAGCAAGCUGCCACACACAGGUCUCUAGUCAUGUUGUCUGAACUGGCACAGGGACUGAGGCCAAAGGGCUUGUGGAGAUAAUCCCCUUCUGGAACUGUGGCAGUUUGACAGCUUUUCAGAAAGGGAAAAUCAGCAAUAAAUCUCAA
RNA transcript from Pyrgilauda ruficollis (rufous-necked snowfinch), 1652 nucleotides. It is a transcript of the gene named transmembrane protein 241, with no coding region annotated. The record is from RefSeq and is a predicted model, not a curated record. The transcript has 16 exons. Lineage: Eukaryota; Metazoa; Chordata; Aves; Passeriformes; Passeridae.